This 499-nucleotide ribosomal RNA is filed under the name uncultured bacterium. RNAcentral's name for it is "partial 16S ribosomal RNA". It matches the Rfam family "Bacterial small subunit ribosomal RNA", at positions 28 to 507 of the family's 1533-position model. The record is from RNAcentral.
GACGAACGCUGGCGGCGUGCUUAACACAUGCAAGUCGAACGGGCCCGCUCUCUUUUUUGGGGGUGGGUUGAGUGGCGAACGGGUGAGUAUCACGUGAGUAACCUGCCCCCUGCUCCUGGAUAACUGCUUGAAAGGGCGGCUAAUACGGGGUGUGCCGGCUGGUCCGCAUGGGCCUGGUCGGGAUAGUUUCAUCUUCGGGUGUUUCGGUGGGGGAUGGGCUCGCGGCCUAUCAGCUUGUUGGUGGGGUGAUGGCCCACCAAGGCGGUGACGGGUAGCCGGCCUGAGAGGGUGGGCGGCCACACUGGGACUGAGACACGGCCCAGACUCCGGCGGGAGGCAGCAGUGGGGGGUAUUGCACAAUGGGCGGAAGCCUGAUGCAGCGACGGCGCGUGAGGGAUGGAGGCCUUCGGGUUGUGAACCUCUUUCUCCGGUGGUGAAGGCCCUGUCCGUUGCGGCGGGGUUGACGGUAGCCGGGUAUGAAGCGCCGGCUAACUACGUG